UACGUAGGUGGCUAGCGUUGUCCGGAUUUACUGGGCGUAAAGAGCGCGCAGGCGGUCGUUCAAGUCGAGUGUGAAAGCCCCCGGCUCAACUGGGGAGGGUCACUCGAUACUGAUCGACUCGAAGGCAGGAGAGGGAAGCGGAAUUCCCGGUGUAGUGGUGAAAUGCGUAGAUAUCGGGAGGAACACCAGUGGCGAAGGCGGCUUCUGGCCUG
RNAcentral lists this ribosomal RNA (212 nucleotides) under uncultured bacterium. RNAcentral describes it as "partial 16S ribosomal RNA". It matches the Rfam family "Bacterial small subunit ribosomal RNA", at positions 524 to 736 of the family's 1533-position model. The record is from RNAcentral.